CGGACGGGUGAGUAAUGUCUGGGAAACGUGCCUGAUGGGGGGGGAUAACUACUGGAAACGGUAGCUAAUACCGCAUAACGUCGCAAGACCAAAGAGGGGACCGUUCGGGCCUCUUGCCAUCGGAUGUGCCCAGAUGGGAUUAGCUAGUAGGUGGGGUAACGGCUCACCUAGGCGACGAUCCCUAGCUGGUCUGAGAGGAUGACCAGCCACACUGGAACUGAGACACGGUCCAG
This 233-nucleotide ribosomal RNA is filed under the name uncultured bacterium. RNAcentral describes it as "partial 16S ribosomal RNA". It matches the Rfam family "Bacterial small subunit ribosomal RNA", at positions 99 to 334 of the family's 1533-position model. The record is from RNAcentral.